Molecule: long non-coding RNA, 317 nt
Filed under: Gossypium barbadense (sea-island cotton)
Lineage: Eukaryota; Viridiplantae; Streptophyta; Magnoliopsida; Malvales; Malvaceae
Description: long non-coding RNA (GBAR_LNC013330)
Source: RNAcentral
UGGAGGGAAAGCAGAGAGUCCCCAGAAGCAGCGGAGGAGAAGCCUAGGCUGUGGAUGAGAGGAGAGGACUUGAGGUGGCGGCGCGUGGAAGGAAGGCGGAUGAGGGAUGCAGAAGAGCGGGAGGCGGAGGAAGAGGUGGUGGAGGCGGUGGUUUUGAGGAGGGAAAGAGUGGUGGAAGUGGUGGCAGAAGCCAUUUGGAGGCGAAGAGAGAAAGAGAGAGGAGAGGCUGAGUUGUAAGUUGUGAAGGCAAAGAGACAAGUAAACUGUGAGAGAGGGGGGGAAAAGGAGUUUAUGUAACGGUGGAUGGGAAUGGCGAA